AGAUUAAGUUAUUAAGGGCGCACGGUGGAUGCCUUGGCACUAGAAGCCGAUGAAGGACGUUACUAACGACGAUAUGCUUUGGGGAGCUGUAAGUAAGCUUUGAUCCAGAGAUUUCCGAAUGGGGAAACCCAGCAUGAGUUAUGUCAUGUUAUCGAUAUGUGAAUACAUAGCAUAUCAGAAGGCACACCCGGAGAACUGAAACAUCUUAGUACCCGGAGGAAGAGAAAGAAAAUUCGAUUCCCUUAGUAGCGGCGAGCGAAACGGGAAGAGCCCAAACCAACAAGCUUGCUUGUUGGGGUUGUAGGACACUCUAUACGGAGUUACAAAGGACGACAUUAGACGAAUCAUCUGGAAAGAUGAAUCAAAGAAGGUAAUAAUCCUGUAGUCGAAAAUGUUGUCUCUCUUGAGUGGAUCCUGAGUACGACGGAGCACGUGAAAUUCCGUCGGAAUCUGGGAGGACCAUCUCCUAAGGCUAAAUACUCUCUAGUGACCGAUAGUGAACCAGUACCGUGAGGGAAAGGUGAAAAGCACCCCGGAAGGGGAGUGAAAUAGAACCUGAAACCGUGUGCUUACAAGUAGUCAGAGCCCGUUAAUGGGUGAUGGCGUGCCUUUUGUAGAAUGAACCGGCGAGUUACGAUUUGAUGCAAGGUUAAGCAGUAAAUGUGGAGCCGUAGCGAAAGCGAGUCUGAAUAGGGCGUUUAGUAUUUGGUCGUAGACCCGAAACCAGGUGAUCUACCCUUGGUCAGGUUGAAGUUCAGGUAACACUGAAUGGAGGACCGAACCGACUUACGUUGAAAAGUGAGCGGAUGAACUGAGGGUAGCGGAGAAAUUCCAAUCGAACCUGGAGAUAGCUGGUUCUCUCCGAAAUAGCUUUAGGGCUAGCCUCAAGUGAUGAUUAUUGGAGGUAGAGCACUGUUUGGACGAGGGGCCCCUCUCGGGUUACCGAAUUCAGACAAACUCCGAAUGCCAAUUAAUUUAACUUGGGAGUCAGAACAUGGGUGAUAAGGUCCGUGUUCGAAAGGGAAACAGCCCAGACCACCAGCUAAGGUCCCAAAAUAUAUGUUAAGUGGAAAAGGAUGUGGCGUUGCCCAGACAACUAGGAUGUUGGCUUAGAAGCAGCCAUCAUUUAAAGAGUGCGUAAUAGCUCACUAGUCGAGUGACACUGCGCCGAAAAUGUACCGGGGCUAAACAUAUUACCGAAGCUGUGGAUUGUCC
This 1215-nucleotide ribosomal RNA is filed under the name Staphylococcus aureus. Its description in RNAcentral is "bacterial LSU rRNA". It matches the Rfam family "Bacterial large subunit ribosomal RNA", at positions 1 to 1212 of the family's 2925-position model. Lineage: Bacteria; Bacillati; Bacillota; Bacilli; Caryophanales; Staphylococcaceae. The record is from RNAcentral.